UGUGAAGUGUGGGCAGCUUGAAACACACGAGGCAGCAAAUCCGAACAGGCAAAGGCCUCACUCUCCAGUGCAGUCUGGGAGGACUGAUCAGGGAAGAACAGAUCAGGGUGAAGAACAGAAAGGUGAGCUCUGAUCCUGGAACUUCUUCCCUGCGCUCUGCCAGCUCCCACCUCGCCACCACCCUGGGUUCUGGAACCACGCCAAGCAGGGCAGAAACCGAAGUGCUUUUGGAAGUCCACAGGGAUUCCCACACCCACCACAGCCCAAUUUCAUCUGCCCACAGUUGCUCCCUGAACUCAGUGGCUCUGCCGCAGCAGGGAGAUGGUCUGAAGGACAGGCGUGGGGGCAGAAGAAGACCCCAAGGCAUCUCCCCAAGAUGACCACAGUUGUCCCUGAAGAAGCAGUCACAGCAAGCUCACUUCACAGGAACCAAGCUGUGGGCUGAUCCUACAGACUUGAAAAGACAACUCAAAAAGAUUGUCUGUGGGGUCAGAAACAGCUCUGGAGGGGUCUGCAGAAAUUACUUUCCCAAGUCUUUGGGCUGGAAGGAACGAACAGUGCCUGACCAAGGACUUUGAGCAGGAGAGAGAUGGGAGCAGAGAGGAGCCAAGGUCUACUAUUUUCACUUCUGUCAAUUAGAUCAAAGCCCUGCCCAGAAGCUUUGAGCGCCGCUGUCAAGUCCCAUUCCUCCCCUAAACCAUCCAGGUUCCAUCUGCCUUGAAGCCAAAGGAUCUUCUUAGAUUCCUCAAGAAAAAUUCAGGCCCCGAGUUUCUCCACCAGCACUCUCCUCUCCCCGAAGGAGUGGGUGGGCUGCAUUUCUCUUCAUAUUCUAUUCCAUUCCAGACCGUCUUGGACUACCAGCCUGUCCGCCACCCCUCGGGGCCCUCCCUCCUACUCUGCCCUUGCCCGCUGAGGUCCCAAGCUGAGGAGAUGAGCCGAGCAGUAAAAAGAGAGGAGGUUUGGAAAAGCAAUGUCCUCUCAGUCUUUAAUAGGUGGCCCCCCUGGGAACCUGCUGGAAGUGGAAGUUAAUAAGCUGAAGGUGGUCACAACCAAUCUCUGCCACACUCGCACCCUACCCCACCCCAAAUCAUUCCUUUUAAUUAAUAGUGGAAGACCUUUUUAAAAAUGUAACAUGAAUUGGCUAUUUCUUGAGGCAAACAAAAGGUGGCUCUGAAGCGAUAUAUUUGUACUCGUAUAAAUUCAUUAAAAUAGAAAGCUUAUAACCAUCCAGGUUUCACUGACAGCCCCAGUCCAUCUACAUGCAGAAAUGGUCCCUCCAAAGCCCUCUACGACAAUUAUUCUCACAGAUCGUCAUGAUAAACUGUAAGGGAAUAUACUAAGAAAGAGGGAAGAAGAGAGGAGGAGUCCAUUUUUAAUUAGUGGUUGGAAAUAGAGUAAAAAUUAGAGGGCCUUAGGUUUAAAACACAGAUGUGCAUUGUGAUCGUCUGAAGGAAGAGCUGUUGACAGAGAAAACAAGGUGGUGAACUAUGCCCUUGGCCUGUGACAGUUAGGUGAGGGUUGCUCACCGCAGAAGACAGACCGGUAGAGCCCAGCAGGAAAGAGGGUAUCAGGCUGGAAGAAGUGCAGUUUGGCCCUGGCGGAGUGGUGGAGUGGCUGGAGCGACUGCAGGAGGAGGAUAGAUCUGGAAGCAGGUCUGGGCUAUACUUUGGCCUCAGCCAGGGAGCCAGAGAAGGAAGGCUUGGGUUCGAGGGGGGAAAUCAUUCUCCCAAAUUGCUUUCUCAGAAGCGCCAAUUCAGAUCACCUGAAGACAGGGUCUGGGCCCCAUUACAGCAUGGUUCCCAAAUGGGAGUGUGCUUGGAAGCCUUGGUGAUUAAAGGGUGCUGACUAAAAGAGUCAAACUCUGUAAAAUAUUUGAAGAGAUUUAUUCUGAGCCAAAUAUGAGUGACCAUGGCCCAUGACACAGCCCUCAGGAGACCCUGAGAACAUGUGUUCAAGGUGGUCGGGGUACAGCUUGGUUUUAUAUGUUUUAGGAAGGCAUGAGACUCAAUCAAAGACAUUUUAAAAAUACAUUGGUUUGGUUCAGAAAGGUGAGACAACUCAAAGUGGGGGCUUCCAGGCUAUAGGUAAAUUUAAACAUUUUCUGACUGACAAUUGGUUGGGUUUAUCUGGAGACCUGGGAUUAAUGGAAAGGAAGGUUCAUGUUAAGAUACAGAACUGUGGGGACCAAGUUUUAUUGUGCAGAGGAAUCUCUCAGAUAGCAGACUUCAGAGAGAGAGAGAGCAGGUUGUAAAAUGUUUCUUAUCGGACCUAAAAGGGUACCUGGCUCUUAGUUGAUUAUCUCCUGGAUCUGGGAAGGAAGGAAGGAAAACAAAGGGGAAAGGAAAUAUUUCCUAUAGAAUAUGGAUUUUUCCCACAAGAGACUUUGCAGGACAAUUUCGAGAUAUGGCAAGGAGAUUUAUUUUGGGGUAAAACAUUUUGAUUUUCUUCCUUGUUAUGCCACAGUCAGAUUGGAAAGUCAGUCAUGAUAUACAGGGUCAGAUAAAAUCCGUCUGAUGAGAAUGUAUGGUUGGUAGGGCAUGACUCCCCAGACCCCUUAGAUAGGAAUCUGGGCAAGAUAAAAAAUCGGAGCUUAGUCCUCAAGGGAAGGGGCAGCAGCGCUGUUGGCGGGCUCACCAAGCAUCAGUACUGGAUCACCAGGCUUGGGAGAGUAGGGGUGUCAAGGCCCCAAGAGCAGGGAGGGCCUUGGCCCCACUAGGGGGGCAUCAGAAAGCAGGGAGCACUUGUAGUUCACCAUGAUUCCCCUCAAAGCCCUGGGCCAGCCUCCUGCAGGGAAGGCGGGCAGGAAGUCUUCCCCAUAGGGGCAGGCUUGCUUUUUUGGCCAGCCAUCCUCUUCAUAUGAAAAACAGCAUCUUGUCAUUUCUAGAUGUUUCUACUUUGGUUGACUCUUUAAUUUUUCUGCAGUUAAAAGCCUUAAAACAGCAAGGAAGCAGGGGACAGGAGGGGAGCCCAGAUCUCUCCCAAAGAAAAGGAGAAAGACUGAAUCCUUGAGGCCUGCCGUACAAAGGAGUGGUGGGUUGGAGGAGGGUAGGCAGAGACUAGGGUGGUCUGGGACUUUAAGUACAAGGCCCCGUGGAUUUCAUUGGGGGGCAAGCCAUGUGCAACAGGGAAGCUCAGGAACCGGGGGGUUUCGCACAGAGGUCUGGUGCUGUGAGGUACAGGGAAAGAAUUAGUGGAUCUGGACCAGUGGAACAUUGGUUUAGUGUAAUCUCUGAUUUGUGUUGAGUGAAUUUGAGUAUAGUCCAACCACCACCCCCCUACCCCAACUAAACCAUGUGCCCCUCAGGAGCUGGGACUCUUCUAUUUUCUAUUCCUUAUAGCAGGCUCAGUGCCUGACACACUACGUUGAAUUUUAUUUUAAACAUUUCAUUUACAUUAAAUGGUAUAUUUGCAAGUUCAUUCUUCCAGACCUCAGUUUAUUCUUUUAUCUAGUCAUUUUAAAGGGAUUCUCUCAGACCCUCCACUAGCUAAGAGAACCGAACUUUUCUUCCAGAAUUGUCAGGAAAUGGGACUUACUGACUUAGUGAGCUACUUAUUUUAUCUAGAAUUAACUGUGUCUAAUAAAAUAUAUAUGCACUUUGGGAAUGGAUGAGGUGCUACACAAAUGAAAGAUGGUAUUAUUCAUCAUACAGUGUUUUUGAUUAUAAUAGAUUAUUCUCUGCCAAAACCCAGAAGGGCCAAGUCGAGGUAGGUUGCUGAAAGGGGAGGAAGUCUAAAUAGCAGAAUCAGACUUUUCCAUAAGUUUGCAGUGGCGUAUGGACAACACUCAGGCAACCAGCCCUCGGCACAGCAACAGGGGACCCACCUCCUAAGUUGGGGCUGAGUAAAGACAUAUUCCCGGGGCAAGGCUUUGCCAAGGCAGGCCUCUUCUGAAACAUAAGUCCCAUCUUUCUCCCGGCCCCGCCACCCCACCUCAGAUGUGCUGUCUAGAAGCUGCACAUCUGGGGCCGUUCAAACUCCUGGCUCGAAUCACUGGAAUCAUCUGAGCAGGAUAAUUUUACAUUAAUGAUUAAAAAUUGCUCUUCUAGAUAUAGCCUUGCCUCAGGGUAGCCAUUAAGAACAUUACUUCGUAAUUUAAGAAGCUCAAUGUAGGGCGCUUUGGGCAUUUGCAAAGAGGGAACUGUACUCAUAUCUUGAUAAAUUGCAAAAUGUCUCC
RNAcentral lists this long non-coding RNA (4174 nucleotides) under Homo sapiens (human). Its description in RNAcentral is "non-protein coding LINC01016:1". Lineage: Eukaryota; Metazoa; Chordata; Mammalia; Primates; Hominidae. The record is from RNAcentral.